This 1449-nucleotide ribosomal RNA is filed under the name uncultured organism. RNAcentral describes it as "SSU rRNA". It matches the Rfam family "Bacterial small subunit ribosomal RNA". The record is from RNAcentral.
GAACGCUAGCUACAGGCUUAACGCAUGCAAGUCGAGGGGCAGCAUGGUCUUAGCUUGCUAAGGCCGAUGGCGACCGGCGCACGGGUGAGUAACACGUAUCCAACCUGCCGUCUACUCUUGGACAGCCUUCUGAAAGGAAGAUUAAUACAAGAUGGCAUCAUGAGUCCGCAUGUUCACAUGAUUAAAGGUAUUCCGGUAGACGAUGGGGAUGCGUUCCAUUAGAUAGUAGGCGGGGUAACGGCCCACCUAGUCUUCGAUGGAUAGGGGUUCUGAGAGGAAGGUCCCCCACAUUGGAACUGAGACACGGUCCAAACUCCUACGGGAGGCAGCAGUGAGGAAUAUUGGUCAAUGGGCGCAGGCCUGAACCAGCCAAGUAGCGUGAAGGAUGGCUGCCCUAUGGGUUGUAAACUUCUUUUAUAAAGGAAUAAAGUCGGGUAUGGAUACCCGUUUGCAUGUACUUUAUGAAUAAGGAUCGGCUAACUCCGUGCCAGCAGCCGCGGUAAUACGGAGGAUCCGAGCGUUAUCCGGAUUUAUUGGGUUUAAAGGGAGCGUAGAUGGAUGUUUAAGUCAGUUGUGAAAGUUUGCGGCUCAACCGUAAAAUUGCAGUUGAUACUGGAUAUCUUGAGUGCAGUUGAGGCAGGCGGAAUUCGUGGUGUAGCGGUGAAAUGCUUAGAUAUCACGAAGAACUCCGAUUGCGAAGGCAGCCUGCUAAGCUGCAACUGACAUUGAGGCUCGAAAGUGUGGGUAUCAAACAGGAUUAGAUACCCUGGUAGUCCACACGGUAAACGAUGAAUACUCGCUGUUUGCGAUAUACGGCAAGCGGCCAAGCGAAAGCGUUAAGUAUUCCACCUGGGGAGUACGCCGGCAACGGUGAAACUCAAAGGAAUUGACGGGGGCCCGCACAAGCGGAGGAACAUGUGGUUUAAUUCGAUGAUACGCGAGGAACCUUACCCGGGCUUAAAUUGCAGAUGAAUUACGGUGAAAGCCGUAAGCCGCAAGGCAUCUGUGAAGGUGCUGCAUGGUUGUCGUCAGCUCGUGCCGUGAGGUGUCGGCUUAAGUGCCAUAACGAGCGCAACCCUUGUUGUCAGUUACUAACAGGUUCCGCUGAGGACUCUGACAAGACUGCCAUCGUAAGAUGUGAGGAAGGUGGGGAUGACGUCAAAUCAGCACGGCCCUUACGUCCGGGGCUACACACGUGUUACAAUGGGGGGUACAGAGGGCCGCUACCACGCGAGUGGAUGCCAAUCCCAAAAACCUCUCUCAGUUCGGACUGGAGUCUGCAACCCGACUCCACGAAGCUGGAUUCGCUAGUAAUCGCGCAUCAGCCACGGCGCGGUGAAUACGUUCCCGGGCCUUGUACACACCGCCCGUCAAGCCAUGGGAGCCGGGGGUACCUGAAGUGCGUAACCGCGAGGAGCGCCCUAGGGUAAAACUGGUGACUGGGGCUAA